GUCAUGUUAAUGUUGAGAUCCUAUCUAAGCCAUAUGUCAUGUUAAUGUUGAGAUCCUAUCUAAGCCAUAUGUCAGUCAGGUUAAUGUUGAGAUCCUAUCUAAGCCAUAUGUCAUUCAGGUUAAUGUUGAGAUCCUAUCUAAGCCAUAUGUCAUUCAUGUUAAUGUUGAGAUCCUAUCUAAAGCCAUAUGUCAGUCAGGUUAAUGUUGAGAUCCUAUCUAAGCCAUAUGUCAGUCAUGUUAAUGUUGAGACCCUAUCUAAGCCAUAUGUCAUGUUAAUGUUGAGAUCCUAUCUAAGCCAUAUGUCAGUCAUGUUAAUGUUGAGAUCCCAUCUAAAGCCAUAUGUCAGUCAGGUUAAUGUUGAGAUCCUAUCUAAAGCCAUAUAUCAGUCAUGUUAAUGUUGAGAUCCUAUCUAAG
Long non-coding RNA from Oncorhynchus keta (chum salmon), 414 nucleotides. RefSeq lists it as uncharacterized. The transcript is spliced from 3 exons. The record is from RefSeq and is a predicted model, not a curated record. Lineage: Eukaryota; Metazoa; Chordata; Actinopteri; Salmoniformes; Salmonidae.